GCCAGCAGCCCGGCUCUGGUCAGCCCCGGCCCCAAACCCAUCAUGGCCCCAGUGCCCAGCGAAGUGGGGAGAGCGAGCCCGGGAGCAGAGAAGCCAGGAUGCUCAGGGGGAGAGAGGGAAGGGCCAGAGUUCCUACCAGGACUACAGGAGGAAAAUAAGAGGACCAAAUGCCCUGUACCUCGCCCUGCGCUGUCUUACCUGCAUCUACGGGGAUGGGAUGGGAGAGGUCCCCAACCCAGUGACACAGACUUCACAGAAAGCAUUAUGAAUGGGGAGGGGAGAGAAGUGGAUUUCCAGGCCUCACUGGGGGCAGAGCCUUCUAGAACUAAUCAGCAAACCCCAAGCUCCUGAAAGGGUUAAGGGCGCCCAACCCCACGCACGACAGUGUUAACCUGGAUUUUACUUGUACAGGAUCUUCUUGUUUAUCCAUACAUUUGAAUCCCAUCAACAUCAUUUUUAUACACUUUGGCAAAUUUUAAAAUAAACUUCACCUGUA
Molecule: long non-coding RNA, 496 nt
Organism: Suricata suricatta (meerkat)
Lineage: Eukaryota; Metazoa; Chordata; Mammalia; Carnivora; Herpestidae
Exons: 3
Source: RefSeq, a predicted model, not a curated record